UUCUAUACUCACAUACUAGAUCACAUUUGGCCUUUGGCAAUUCAGUAAACAUUUUAGCAAUUUCUUCUUUCCUGCCUGCUGAAGACUGACUUCCUCCUGCUGCCAAAGGUUUGCAGUGCUUAUUUAAGUUCUAGAGUCUGGACGUCUGAGAUCAGGGUGCCAGCACUGUCGAGGUCACAGACUGCAGACCUCCUUGUAUCUUCAAAUGGAGGAAAGAGGACAAGAGAGCUCCUGUGGUCCCUUUUAUCAAGAUGAAUGCACAAGGAAAAUGUUGUACAUUUGCACAUUGGAGUACACUUCAGCCAUAAAAAGAAUGAGAUGCUGUCAUUUGCAACAACAGAGUUGUGCAGUCAUCAGUUAUCUUCAUGGGACGAGUAUGUCCGGAGGGGAGGAAAAUCUGAUAAAAAAUAUUGAAAUUCAAUGAAGGCUUCCACUGCUUAACAAAUGUUACAUAGAAUUCUUCACCGAUGUGAGGAACAUCAGUUUGCAAAAGAAACUCUGCACUUUCAGGGAUAAAAAGACUGAGACUCCAAAUGGUGCUCCUAGUAUUGGUGAAGCUUAGGGAGAGAGCCCAUUGUGUUUCUAUCUAACUGCUCUCAGGAAAAGGUAGAAAAUGUCUCAGAUUCCACAAGAAAGAUAGAAUGUGUGAUAAGAUGACAAUCAGGCCACAACAGAAUAUCCUAGUAGGGUACAUAAAUUAGCAUCAACAUGGACCAAUUAGCAAGGAAGUGUCUUCAUAAUAUUCCCGUAAUUAGACUCUCAUUAGCUUGAUAUUUGAUGCUGGACUAACCCUAUUUGAAUGAUAUAAGCACUGGUACUUAGAAUUUUCAGAGACUGGUGCCCCUAAUGGAAAAAUGCAGGAUGAAAUGCUAGUGAAGAUUAACUGGGAGAAAAAUAGGUAAAUGUGAAAAAGAAAACGUGUGUCUGACUGUAUACAGAGUUCUAAUUGUAAAAAAUUAAUCGAAUGUAUAAAAUAUCGACAG
RNAcentral lists this long non-coding RNA (983 nucleotides) under Homo sapiens (human). RNAcentral's name for it is "HSALNT0142028". Lineage: Eukaryota; Metazoa; Chordata; Mammalia; Primates; Hominidae. The record is from RNAcentral.